This 253-nucleotide ribosomal RNA is filed under the name uncultured bacterium. RNAcentral's name for it is "partial 16S ribosomal RNA". It matches the Rfam family "Bacterial small subunit ribosomal RNA", at positions 524 to 776 of the family's 1533-position model. The record is from RNAcentral.
AACGUAGGACACAAGCGUUAUCCGGAGUUACUGGGCGUAAAGCGCGUGUAGGCGGUUCGGUAAGUCCGCUGUGAAAGUCGAGGGCUCAACCCUCGAAAGCCGGUGGAUACUGUCGGGCUAGAGUGCGGAAGAGGCGAGUGGAAUUCCUGGUGUAGCGGUGAAAUGCGCAGAUAUCAGGAGGAACACCAAUUGCGAAGGCAGCUCGCUGGGACGUUACUGACGCUGAGACGCGAAAGCGUGGGGAGCAAACAGG